AAUUCGAUGCCGAGCAGGCCUGCAAGUUUCUGAAGAUUGGCCUUCUUUGCACUCAAGAAUCUCCAAAGCGCCGGCCAUCCAUGUCUUCUGUGGUAAAGAUGCUUACCGGAGAAAUGGAAGUUGACGACAGUAUGAUGACAAAACCUGCCUUAAUUUCUGAUCUUAUGGACCUCAAAGUUAAACAUAAACAAGAAAGUAUAAUUGAUAUGAAGACUUCCUACAAUACAUCCUCUGCCUCAGAGCAUGAGGACACUACAAUUACAUCAGCAGCAACUACAACCUUUUACAAUGCUUUAUCUUUAAAUUAAAAUUCUUAAUUCAUUUGCUUAGGCUUAUAUCUCAUAUAAAUUUUGAAAUCUUUCCAUACUUAUGUUAGUUUUUCUUUUAUAUAUUUUGGUAAGGCUUCAUGACUAGGGAGUGAUAAAAAGCCUUUGGAUGUGUAUUUCCGGACGGGAUAACAAUUGCAUUUUUGUCCGGAAAUACACAUCUUAAUGGCUCAAAAACUGUGUUUUUUUUUUCCGAAUGUGUACAUCUGAAGUGGUUUUGGAGGUGAGAAAAGUUCCUCCAAGUUCUAAAUGUAAGGUUGUGUAAAUAUUCAAUGAUAAUUUGAAGAUAUUUUUUUCUCUGCUUUUUGUUGUGUUGUGUUACUUUCCUCUUCAUUAUUUCUUUGUAAAAAAUACUCUACUAAAUUCUCAAAAUAAAAAAUGAGAAAAGCCCUUCUAGACCAAAUAGACUUAGGCUUUGUUUGCGAUUUAGGAAGGAAGGGAGGGGAGGGGUUUGAAAAAAAUGAAAGAUCAAGUGGAAGAAAUAGAUGACAUUGAGAAAGAAUCAUUUUUUCUCAUAAUACAAAAUCCACUCAUUUGGGGACUCAAAAAUUGUAUUGAUGGAGAAUUUUGGAGGAUUUUGGGAGGUUUACAUGAAUUCUUCAAAUUUAAUCUACGUAGUUAUAAUAUUAUUGAUGAAUUUUCGCUUGAAGGAGGUUUGUGUCAAGGCAAUCCUCUUUCUAUUUUUAUUGGCGGUGGAAGGAUUGAACAUCAUGAUGAAGGCCAUGGUUGAUAACAAUAUAUUUCCCUUUUCUAUUUUUUACUUAUAUUCAAAAUACAUGGAAGUAACUUGUUACUCCAGUUGAUCACAAGAGACGUGGCUCACACUUCAUUCCAAAUGUUAAACAUUGUAAGCAAGGAAACAACCUUUGCAAUCGAGAUUAUGUGUGGUUGACACCCCUGACUUCAUGCAGCCACUAAAUCAUAAUUUUUCAUUCGAGAUCGGAUGGUUCAUACUUUAAAGUCAAAAUUUUCAAAUUUUUAAAAAAUAAAAACUAUAUAAAAAUCUAAAUUGUCUUAUUUUGAUCAAAUGACCGUAAGAACCUAACUACAUUUCUUUUUCUUUUUGAAUAAGUAAAAUUAAUCUAUGCUUAAAUAUGCAAUCCGUCCCUGUAAUUUGGACGCGUUUUGAUUUUCGUCCUUGUAAAAAAAAAAUUAAAAACAUCCCUGUAAAAAAAAAAAUUUGCUUUAAAAAGGUCCCUGACCCCACUAUUCAGUUGAAGUGGCAUGGUUUUGGCCACGUGGCAUGCCACAUAAUUAAUUUUUGUUUAUUUUUUUCAAAAUUCUAAAAAUUCAUUUUUUAAAUUAAAAAAUCCGAAAAUAAAUAGAAUAAUCAUAAAAAAAAUUAAAAAUCGGAAAAAAACACAGAAAAUUAAAUUUUUUGAUUUUUAAUUAAUUUUUUUCCUUUAAAAUUCUGAAAAUUCAUUUUUUUUAAGUUAAAAAAUACUUAAAAAAUAAAAAUAUCUGAAAAUUAAAUUUUUGAUUUUAAUUAAAAAAAGAUUUUUUUUCAAAAAUCUGAAAUUAAAUUUUCAAAAAUUCAUUUUUUUAAUUCUGAAAAUUAAUUUAUAUUUUCAAAAGUUAUAAAUUAUGAGAUUAUAUAAGUUUCAAAAAUUUAUUUCUAGAUUUUAAAAACACUAAUUUCCAAUUUUUUUUCUUCAUAUUUCAAAAAAAAAUUGGAAUUUUUUAUGAUUUUUUAAUUUUAAAAAAUAAUUUUCAGAUUUUUAAUGACGUGGCCAAAGUCAUCCCAUGUCAGGAAAAAAGUGGGGUCAGGGACCUUUUUAAAACAAAAAAAAAUAAAAAUUGUAGGGAUGUUUUUAAAAAAUAUAUUUUACAAGGACAAAAAUCAAAACGCAUCUAAAUUACAGGGACAGAUUGCAUAUUUAAAUCAUUAUUAAUCUAUGAAAAUUAACAUCGAUGAAAAUCAAACCUUUCAAAAAUUAAUUGCAACUUGUCUGCAUCAAAGUGGAUUACACUCAAUCUAUUUUCCAACCUUCAGCUCGAAGAUAUUGAUAUGAUGUAAAUGUCGAAAGUAAUACAAAAAAAUAAGUAUGUCGUGUGACUCAAAUCAUGACCUGAUUAUUGGAUGUAGUUUAUGGAUGUGGCUGUUUUUUUAGUUCUUUUAAUCCAUUUGCUUGUUGUAUUGUAUUCGUAAAAGUUGCAAAUACACCCAUCAUGAUUAAAAAAAAAUUCACUAAUUUUUCCUCUAUAAAAUUCACUAAUUUUUUCGUGUGUUGAUAAUUCCAAUAUGUUUUUCCUCUAUAAAAUUCACUAAUUUUUUAGUAAAAAACGGUUAAACUUCAUUAUAAUAGAAAUAAUAUCAAACACUUUAAAAUAAGCUUCAAUUAAUCACAAAUUUAGAUGAAAUAGAUAUACAAUCAAACGCAAUGAAGAAGAGAUGUAUGUUAGUGACCGUCUUUCUACAGGUUCUUUUUUUAGAUAGACGAGAUGGCAAAGCCAUCAUAAACUCACAUAUACAAAGCAUUUUUGUCACUUGAGUUAGGACUUAUGAGAUUCUUUCUAUCGGUAUUAUAUAAUAGAGAAAUGAUAUACUCCCUCUGCCCUAAAUUGUAUGUUGCUUUAGAAGAAAAAAAAUUUGUCCCAAAUUACCGGUCGCUUUACAAUACCAAUGAAACAUUAAUUUUACUUUUUCUAUUAUAUCUUUAACUAUUUAUUACUCUCUAUUCUUUCAAUUUUUUCUUUUAUCUUUCCCAUAUCAUUUAUUAAGGACAAUUUUGUAAAACAACUCAUAAUAUUUCUUUUCUACAUAAUAUUAAUUAAAUUUCUUAAUAUGUGUGAAAUGCCCAAAACGUCAUAUAAUUUGGGACGGAGGGAGUAUGAACAUCCAUUUGGUGACAACUUUUGUGAUAAUUUUCUCUUUCAUACUCACAUAAAUUUUUACUUUAUCUCUCUAUUGCUUUGAUUUUUGUACAAAUACCUACUUUUUCUUUAUAAAUUAUGUUGUCAGACAAGUUAUUAACUAAAUUGAUUGUUCAAAUAACACUCCUCUAUAUAAUAAUACUAACAUCAAUUUCUUUUUUAAGGAAUACUAACACCAAUUGUUAUAAUAUUAUAGAAAAAAGUAAAAUACCAAUAUUGUAAAAGGAUAUGCUGUAAGACUGGCGGUAUGCCAAUAACGCACACAAGUUGUUAAGGAAAAAUCUUACACAUUAUUUAAUUAGUUAGUUGACAUUUAUAAAAUUUCUUUGCCUUUCAAAAAAAAAACAAUCGUUGGUUGACAUUAUAUAUAUUUAUAUUUCAAAAUCAUGCAACAUCAACAUGGGUUUGUUGAUCUAAAUAAAUAUUAAACAAUCCAUCAACAAUUUGCAUUAUCAAGCAUGGCUGUUUUGACUGACGCUGUUUUCCAACCGAUGAGUUUUGGAUUGGGAUCUUGGAGUUUGCUCCUCCAAAGAUCUCAGGUCGAUUUCCUCUGAUGUCAAUUUCGGUGGACUAAGUCCAGAGCUUGCCGUGGCUUUAAACGGAGCCCCGCAAGUGGGCAGUGGGAUUGAUCUCCUCGGAUUAAUUGAUUCCUGGAUCGGAUAUCGAGUUUUAAAAAAAAAAUACAUAACAAUUUAAGAUACGUCCACUCGAUACGUUUUCUUACCAUUUAAGAUACCAAAUUGAUUAACUUAACGGUAAAAACUGCUGUUCAAAACAAAAGAAAAAACGAUAAAAACCAGUCAAAAUCUCAUAGUUACGUGUAUGAGUUUCAGUAGAUUUUUUCACUUGGUCUACAUGCACACACGGUAAAAAAAAAACAUAGCAGACACAGACAGAAUGAUUCAAGCACACACGGUACUCUUACGUAGUCUGAAAACAAAAAAAGAAAACAAAAAAUGAGAAAAUUCAAACCUUAAUGUACGCGUGUACAAUGUUUCAUGGUCCCUUUAUUAGUAUAUUACAUUGAAUUCUGACACCAUUCACCACGUUUUUGUCUUCUCUAAAUUCUCCUAUCUUUCUGUGUUUCUUUCUCUUCUUCUUUACUUCAACAUUUUCUUAGGUGAGUUUUGUUUCAUUUAACUUCAUCCUUGUUUUUAUGCAUACCCUUUAUUUAUAACUUUGUGUUUUCUUUAUUCUUCUCUUUUUUCCUUCUGAAAGUUGCAAUCUUUUUCAUGUUUGGUUGAUGGGUAUGAUGGUUUUUUCUAGACAUUUCUUUAGGAUGUUCUUAUUAUUAUUGUGUUUGUUUUGGUUUAGCUUCUGAGCAAUUUAGAUAUAUAUUUCAUUCUUAAUCUUCUUUGAGCUGUGAAAAAUAUCAGAAACUGAAUAAUUAUUAUGAUAAUUGAUGACUUUGACUUCUAAACAUAGCUUGUGAUAAACGCAUGAUGCUUAUAGCAAGAGAAAUUAUAGAAUAAUAAAGUCAAAAUCUUAGUUUACAAGUUAUUUUCAUACUUACACAUUUGAUAAAUCAGUUUAAUUUGCAUAAAUUAUUCAGAUUUUGUUAUGGUAAUAUCUGAGUUAAAAUGAAUGUACGUAUUUUUGAUUUGUUUUUUUUUUAAGGGCUGAAAUUUCUGCAUCAUCUUUAUCAUUUUCAAUUAUUUGUAUAAGAUUUGGACUUUAUUAUUCUUCACAACACUGACACUUUUUUAUGAUUCAACCAGGUGACAUUGGAAUUGCUGUUUCAUUUGAAGCAAUUUGAUUGACAUUAAAACAUACUUUUCUGAUACAUCAUUCCGUCAUGACCUGUUUCCCUUUCUCGUUCAGUAAGACACCGUCUUCUUCAAGACAGCAUCCAGACAACGAUGAAGGUAAGAUAACUAACAAAUUGCAAUAGAUAAUAUUAAGAUUGCUGUUAGGUAUGGUGCAUAGUUUAGUAAUAAGUGGUCAGGUUCGCUCGAGCUGCGAUUCAAGGGUUAAUCCUGUAAAUUGGACCGUAGUAUUUAGACACAAGUUUUAAUCUAUAAUCUAAACUUGAAUAAAGGGAAGCUGUAGCCACUCUGCAGUCAGAGACGUAGGUACAUUUGGCCGAACACUAUGAUCAAAUCUCGUGUUUUAUCUGUUUGUGUUUUUUCGUAUCCGUUUACUUUUGAACCAGGGUUGUUGUUCUAACAAUUGUAUCAUUGUAGUUUUUUAAAUUUGACUAAUUUUCUAGGGACGUGGUUAUAUUCUAGAAUUAGGAUAUCUAUGAUAUAAUACAUUGAAAAAUCUACUUACAUUAUUAGAUUUUAAUAGAAUGUACUUUGAACAGAUAUCUCAAGCAUUCAUGAUGUUAAAAUCUAUACCUUCAAAGAACUAAGGAAUGCCACCGAUAACUUUAGUCCGGCCAAUAAAAUCGGAGAGGGUGGUUUUGGUUCUGUCUACAUGGUAAACUAAACUAUUACUUCAUCAUUAUUUUUUUUCCCUUUUCUUAUCAAUGAGUAUGAAACCUUAAUUGUAUUACGGUGUGGAUGAUCAGGGACGACUUAAAGGUGGAAAACUCGCUGCUAUAAAAGUUCUUUCGGCUGAAUCAAGACAAGGGGUGAAAGAGUUCUUGACAGAGAUUAAUGUGAUCUCCGCAGUAGAGCAUGAAAAUUUGGUUAAGUUAUAUGGUUGUUGUGUUGAAAAAAAUAACAGGAUAUUAGUCUACAAUUACCUUGAGAAUAACAGUCUUUCACGAACACUUCUAGGUAAAUGCAUUUAUUUUUGUGUAAAUAUGUUGAUGUUCAGUCUGAGACAUUGAAAGUAGUCACAUUUCUUUGAAAUAUUGUCCGAGAAAAAUUAAAAGAACGACUUGCUUCAUGGAUUUGUUUUAUUAACUAGUCUUUCACUCUCAACAUUGCUCAAAUAUUUUUUCAUCAAUUUUUACGUUUUCUCUUCAGGUGGAGGUCACAAUAGUGAUAGUAUCUACUUUGAUUGGCGAACACGGUGUAGAAUAUGUAUUGGCGUUGCACGUGGGCUUGCCUUUCUUCAUGAAGAAGUCAGGCCUCCUAUCAUUCAUAGGGAUAUAAAAGCUAGCAAUAUUCUCCUUGACAAAGACCUUACACCGAAGAUUUCUGAUUUUGGUCUUGCAAAGCUUAUUCCAGCAAAUGCGACUCAUGUCAGCACACGUGUGGCAGGAACACUGUAAGUAUUAUAAUUCACAGUCUCUAAUGAAUCGAUUUGUGUCAGAAGUUUACUGAUGCAUGGUCUAUUUCAGAGGUUAUUUGGCACCGGAGUAUGCAAUAGGGGGGAGACUCACACGAAAGGCAGACAUUUACAGUUUUGGUGUUCUCCUUGUAGAGAUAGUCAGCGGAAGAUGUAACACAAAUUCGCGACUGCCAAUAGAAGAACAAUUCAUUCUAGAGAGGGUAUGGACAUCUCCCUCCCAAUCAUAUUCACAUAUCUUUUAUUAGCCAUGCCAUCAAUUCUUUACAACCUAUUUGUUUCUUCAAUCCUUUGAAAUGCUUGUGCUCAUCUCUAAGUAAAAGUUUACCUUCCUAUAUCCACAAUUUCCUAUUUCGCAUUAUUUUAGUUUAAUUUAGAUAUACCGUCAGUGUAAAAAAAUUACAUUGACAACAAAUAAGAAUCUCUAUUCACUGAUACGUGUGAUUUUAAAAGCAGUUUAAUUGAAGUCAAAUGUUUUUCAUGAUAUCACGAUUGUGAUUGAUGGGCAAUGUAAACUUUUUUACAUUAAUAGUGUAUACGAAUUAAAUCAUUUUUGUAUAGGCUUUGGCAUUUCAUUUGAUAAGAAUGAUCGUACUCUAAAGCAUGAUAUGAGAUUUCUAGACCUACUCUAAUCUAAACUUUUGUUCUUACAGACAUGGGAUCUUUACGAGCGAAAGGAAUUAGUUGGACUAGUAGAUACAUCGCUAAACGGGGAAUUUGAUGCCGAGCAGGCAUGUAAAUUUCUGAAGAUUGGCCUUCUUUGCACUCAGGAAUCUCCUAAGAGCCGACCGUCCAUGUCUACUGUGGUCAAGAUGCUUACAGGAGAAAUGAAAGUCGAUGACAGUAUGAUGACAAAACCUGCCUUAAUUUCUGAUUUUAUGGACCUAAAAGUUAGACAUAAACAAGAAAGUAUAACUGAUAUGAAGACUUCAUCUUCAUAUAAUACUUCCUCGGCCUCGGAGCAUCAGGACACUACCAUUAUAUCAUCAGCUGCCACUUCAACCUUC
RNAcentral lists this long non-coding RNA (7387 nucleotides) under Medicago truncatula (barrel medic). Its description in RNAcentral is "long non-coding RNA (MTRU_LNC008652)". The record is from RNAcentral. Lineage: Eukaryota; Viridiplantae; Streptophyta; Magnoliopsida; Fabales; Fabaceae.